UGGGGGCCGUCUUACACAUGCAGUCGACGACCUAUCGGGUUAGUGGCGGACGGGUGAGUAACGCGUGGGAAUCUGCCCUCAGGAGGGGGAUAACGGCUGGAAACGGCCGCUAAUACCCCAUAUGCCGAGAGGUGAAAUGAAUUUCGCCUGAGGAUGAGCCCGCGUCUGAUUAGCUAGUUGGUGAGGUAAUGGCUCACCAAGGCUUCGAUCAGUAGCUGGUCUGAGAGGAUGAUCAGCCACACUGGGACUGAGACACGGCCCAGACUCCUACGGGAGGCAGCAGUGGGGAAUUUUCCGCAAUGGGCGAAAGCCUGACGGAGCAACGCCGCGUGAGGGAUGAAGGCCUCUGGGCUGUAAACCUCUUUUCUCAAGGAAGAAGAUCUGACGGUACUUGAGGAAUAAGCCACGGCUAAUUCCGUGCCAGCAGCCGCGGUAAUACGGGAGUGGCAAGCGUUAUCCGGAAUUAUUGGGCGUAAAGCGUCCGCAGGCGGCCUUUCAAGUCUGCUGUUAAAGCGUGGAGCUUAACUCCAUCAAGGCAGUGGAAACUGUUGGGCUUGAGUGUGGUAGGGGCAGAGGGAAUUCCCGGUGUAGCGGUGAAAUGCGUAGAUAUCGGGAAGAACACCAGUGGCGAAGGCGCUCUGCUGGGCCAUAACUGACGCUCAUGGACGAAAGCCAGGGGAGCGAAAGGGAUUAGAUACCCCUGUAGUCCUGGCCGUAAACGAUGAACACUAGGUGUCGGGGGAAUCGACCCCCUCGGUGUCGUAGCCAACGCGUUAAGUGUUCCGCCUGGGGAGUACGCACGCAAGUGUGAAACUCAAAGGAAUUGACGGGGGCCCGCACAAGCGGUGGAGUAUGUGGUUUAAUUCGAUGCAACGCGAAGAACCUUACCAGGAUUUGACAUCCUGCGAACCUCUAAGAGAUUGGAGGGUGCCUUCGGGAACGCAGUGACAGGUGGUGCAUGGCUGUCGUCAGCUCGUGUCGUGAGAUGUUGGGUUAAGUCCCGCAACGAGCGCAACCCACGUUUUUAGUUGCCAGCAUUUAGUUGGGCACUCUAGAGAGACCGCCGGUGAUAAACCGGAGGAAGGUGUGGAUGACGUCAAGUCAUCAUGCCCCUUACAUCCUGGGCUACACACGUACUACAAUGCUACGGACAAAGGGCAGCAAACUCGCGAGAGCAAGCAAAUCCCAUAAACCGUGGCUCAGUUCAGAUCGUAGGCUGCAACUCGCCUACGUGAAGUAGGAAUCGCUAGUAAUCGCAGGUCAGCAUACUGCGGUGAAUACGUUCCCGGGCCUUGUACACACCGCCCGUCACACCAUGGAUAGUUGGCCACGCCCGAAGUCGUUACUCCAACCCUUGUGGAGGAGUACGCCGAAG
This 1375-nucleotide ribosomal RNA is filed under the name uncultured cyanobacterium. RNAcentral's name for it is "bacterial SSU rRNA". It matches the Rfam family "Bacterial small subunit ribosomal RNA". The record is from RNAcentral. Lineage: Bacteria; Bacillati; Cyanobacteriota.